AACGAACGCUGGCGGCAGGCCUAACACAUGCCAGUCGAGCGGACCUUUCGGGGUCAGCGGCGGACGGGUGAGUAACGCGUGGGAAUAUGCCCUUCUCUACGGAAUAGUCCUGGGAAACUGGGGGUAAUACCGUAUACGCCCUUUGGGGGAAAGAUUUAUCGGGGAAGGAUUAGCCCGCGUUGGAUUAGGUAGUUGGUGGGGUAAUGGCCUACCAAGCCGACGAUCCAUAGCUGGUUUGAGAGGAUGAUCAGCCACACUGGGACUGAGACACGGCUCAGACUCCUACGGGAGGCAGCAGUGGGGAAUCUUAGACAAUGGGGGCAACCCUGAUCGAGCCAUGCCGCGUGAGUGAUGAAGGCCUUAGGGUUGUAAAGCUCUUUCAGCUGGGAAGAUAAUGACGGUACCAGCAGAAGAAGCCCCGGCUAACUCCGUG
This 433-nucleotide ribosomal RNA is filed under the name uncultured bacterium. RNAcentral describes it as "partial 16S ribosomal RNA". It matches the Rfam family "Bacterial small subunit ribosomal RNA", at positions 29 to 507 of the family's 1533-position model. The record is from RNAcentral.